RNAcentral lists this long non-coding RNA (646 nucleotides) under Felis catus (domestic cat). RNAcentral describes it as "lncRNA (ENSFCAG00000041228.2)". The record is from RNAcentral. Lineage: Eukaryota; Metazoa; Chordata; Mammalia; Carnivora; Felidae.
UCCGUAUCAGGCUAGCACCCUGUAGUUGAGGAGCAAAAGACAUAUUACAGGCAAGGAAGUGUGAGUUAUGGUCUGACAAGGAGGUGCUAAUAACUCCACUGAAACUUAGAAAUAUUCCUUUCUCUCUGUGCCAAAUGGGUAGGGGAGAGAGUGGAAACAGGUGUUAAAAGAAUUCAGCGUGAAGCCAAAGUCUAUAGUAAAGCCAAGACAAUAUGUGCUGGAGAAAGAAGGGACAGCAGCUGGUGCAGUGAAGAGAAGAAGGGGUUAGAAUCACAGAGAGUUGAAGAGUUUAUAAGUGGGUUGUUGAACUCACCAGGGAGGACAUGAGCAGACAGAAGAAGUAGACUAUACUCUACGCCCCAGCUUCAGCAAAAUCCAAGUGAUCUCUCAGCCUAUACUUUUGAACCCUCACAUCAUGGGUCUCGGUGUUCUCUAAUGCUCUUCGAGACUGCUGAAGACACUGGGGAUUUAAGGGAAAUUCACGGUUAUACAUAUUUUGAAGGAAUUCCUAGCAUUUCAUUUAACCUGCUGAAAUUUGUCCAUCUCUACCACAGUGCAAAUGAGCGACAUGAUGAUUGGAGUUUGAAGGGCCAUGUUGGACUGUGAGGUGACAUAUUAAAAAUUGCAAAGCAGCAACUUAUAAAAA